UAUAAUUUUUGACUAUUCGUCUUAUUAAAUUAUUUUUACGAUUGAUAUUUUUGUUUUUAUUAGAUGAUAAAUCAUGAAUAGUACUUUACGUGUGACUAAUUUUUUUUAAUUUCCUGAAAAUUUUUCAAAUAAGAUGGAUUGUCAAAUGUUGAACACGGAAACC
Molecule: microRNA precursor, 163 nt
Filed under: Oryza brachyantha (malo sina)
Lineage: Eukaryota; Viridiplantae; Streptophyta; Magnoliopsida; Poales; Poaceae
Description: MIR812 microRNA precursor family
Rfam family: MIR812 microRNA precursor family
Source: Rfam by way of RNAcentral